UUUAAAUUGAGAGUUUGAUCCUGGCUCAGGAUGAACGCUGGCGGCGUGCCUAAUACAUGCAAGUCGUACGCUAGCCGCUGAAUUGAUCCUUCGGGUGAAGUGAGGCAAUGACUAGAGUGGCGAACUGGUGAGUAACACGUAAGAAACCUGCCCUUUAGUGGGGGAUAACAUUUGGAAACAGAUGCUAAUACCGCGUAACAACAAAUCACACAUGUGAUCUGUUUGAAAGGUCCUUUUGGAUCGCUAGAGGAUGGUCUUGCGGCGUAUUAGCU
RNAcentral lists this ribosomal RNA (272 nucleotides) under Oenococcus oeni. RNAcentral's name for it is "partial 16S ribosomal RNA". It matches the Rfam family "Bacterial small subunit ribosomal RNA", at positions 1 to 246 of the family's 1533-position model. The record is from RNAcentral. Lineage: Bacteria; Bacillati; Bacillota; Bacilli; Lactobacillales; Lactobacillaceae.